GGGAGACAUGUCAAAGCAAAGAAGCCAAUUUGAAAAGAAAACAAGAUCAUACAAGUCCUCCCCGAGGUCCGGGCUGGGUCAGGAGGGCUGCUGAGGUCCUGAGGUGGGACUGUCGCGUGUCCAGCUCAAGAGACAAAGCACCAUGGCCUGUGUUCUCUCCAUGCUUCUCCGUGACGACCCGUGUGCUGUCCACAAACCUGCAGGAAACGCCUCUGAUGUCCCCUGUAUCCCCGAGUAACAACCCCUCAAAGUGACAAAGAAUAUACAGUACAGUGAGAUGGAACUUUAUACUGCAGGCUGUGGAGAGGAGGAGUGGAG
This is a long non-coding RNA of Boleophthalmus pectinirostris (great blue-spotted mudskipper), 318 nucleotides long. RefSeq lists it as uncharacterized. The record is from RefSeq and is a predicted model, not a curated record. The transcript has 3 exons. Lineage: Eukaryota; Metazoa; Chordata; Actinopteri; Gobiiformes; Gobiidae.